GGAUAACUCGAUGUAUUUCUCCCUAAAGGAGGGUGAAUUUUAACUGGACACCUGGAUCUCUCUUCUCAGUGAAUUAUGGCUCCACUCCUUGCAGAGCCACUGCUCCCAGUUUGGCUCACACACAGUUUUCCAAGCUGUAAGAUCUACUCAUUCUUCACCACUAGGUCAGUCCAGGCUCUCCUUGUAAAUGGAAUGUUUCUAUCCUCCCAUCAUCAUAGUUCAUUACUACUUGAAAUUUGUCUCUGGACUCCUCAGAUAUUCUGGGUCCCCCUUUUGCUAUAGCCAAUUCAUGGUUAGGUAUCUAAUUCAGGAAAGAUGAGAACUCCUCUUCUGGAUUGCAUUGAAGAAGGUGUUAUAAUUUGUUAAAUAUUACUAUACAUAAGGUAGCAUGUUGAAUAUUUUAUAUAUCAUGUCAUUUGACUUUUUCUUUUGGACCAUAACAAGCCUUUAUUUUGGGGAGUGACUGCUGGGCUGUCUCUCAACAAAGGAGAGAGAGCAACAUAGCUGAGACAGGGAGCUUCUCUUACCAGACUGAGGUGGGGCUUAUAGGAGCUGGGGUGGCAUUGAGUGAUGUAGUGGCUAGGGACUGGGGGAGCUUGUGACAUCAGCAGGAGGGGCUGUGUCAUCACUAGUUAGGGCCAUCUUAAGGCGAGGGAAAUCUAAUGUUCCAGGCUUUUGUUUUAUGAUUAUUGGGCGAGGCUCUCUUCUGGAGCUGUUUCAAGUUGAAAAAGGGGUGAAAGUUGGGGCUAAGCCUGGAUCUGGUGGGGGCAGCGGCAGGUGGGGGCUUCUUCCCUCUGCCAUUGUGGUGGAUACCCCGCCAAGAUGAGUUCUGUGACCGUCUGGCCUUGGGACAGGCAGAUCGGACACUCUUCUGAGAUAAAGAGGGAGCAAGGAAGGCAAGUGAUGUUGUCACUUUGCCCCAUGCAUGUCAGGUUAGUGUUUCGUGUAGGGAAUGGGAGAUCUGUAGUGAAGGGUCCCAGAACUGUGGAUAAAUUGCCAGUAUUUGAGACAGACAGGUUAAAAUCUAGGGCAACAGGAACUGGAGUGAGUGGGUGAGUGGGGGUGAAUAGACAUACACAUCCAACAGGCUGAGAUAUUGACAGGGAGACAGUGGAGGGUAGUAUUAAAUAGGUGUUAUAGCUUUUUUUGAGAUUGGGUUAUCUGGUUUAUCACUUCAAGAUCUAUCCCUUUAUAGGGAGGUGGAGUGGUGGGCCUCAAAACUCUAUCGAUAGUGCCUGUUCACUGACUGCCUCUUUUAGUUAUUCUUUCCUGCUGGGUAUUUAAAACCAAGUGAAAGUAGGCUGAGGAUUUAGCUCAGUGGUGCUGCUGCCUGCCUGGCAAACAUAAGGACCUGAAUUCGAUUCCUGGUGCAAAAAAAAAAAAAGACCAAGUUAUUUAUUUAUUUCACUUAGGACAUGUGUAAAUACCGAAUAGUUUCUCUGGUGUGAAAAAUCUGCAAUAAUACAUAAGAUCCUAAUAAGAUUACUGACAUUGAGAAAUGGGAAGAAAGGAGCUAAAGAUGUAGAGAAGGUGGGAUGGCUGGGGAAGGGUAAUAAGGGAAAAGAAAAAAAUGUGAGAUAAUGAAAGAUGGAAAUAAAGUGUAGAUAGGGAGGGGAGGAGGGGGUGAAGGGAGGGCAGGGGUAAGGGGAAAAAAUGAGAAUCAAAACUUGUCAUGUAGAGGUACAAGAUCCCAACAAUGAAUGUAACUGUACUGUAUCCCUAAAAUGUACCAAUAAACUCAAUUAGAGCUGGAAAAAAAAAAGAGACCAAGUUAAAGUGAGACCUGUGUUAAUAUGAACAGCUUGCUAUCUGUCAAGGUCAGUUAAUUCUCUUUAGGCAUUAUUUU
RNAcentral lists this long non-coding RNA (1846 nucleotides) under Fukomys damarensis (Damara mole-rat). Its description in RNAcentral is "lncRNA (ENSFDAG00000032279.1)". Lineage: Eukaryota; Metazoa; Chordata; Mammalia; Rodentia; Bathyergidae. The record is from RNAcentral.